UGCUCGGACUUCCCGAAUCUCCCUGGUGCACACUGAUAGAUGGGCCCUUUGUUCUUGGAGGUGGUCUCUUCCAGAUUCAGGGUCCCCUUCCUCACCGAUAAGGAUAACCCACAAAAAGCAUCUGAAAGAGGAGCUGAUGCUCCACUGAUAGGGAAGCUGUGAAAUUCUGUUAUUUCUUCCCAUUUGGUUCCAAAUAUACAACCCAACAGAGUCGUUAGGAUCUCUUCAAUCUCAACUGGGGAUGGCUCCAACGAGGCACGGUCCCUCAGAAAAGUGCUUGUAUAAUCCAGAAGGGCGGACAGGACCGGAGACAAGAGGAGUUCUGUCCCUGGAUGUGGAGAAGAAAGAUGCUCCUAAGAUUUUGUCAUCCCGGAUCUAAACUUGUGGACAUUCUUUUGUGAGAAGCUGUGGCCACAAAGGACAGUAGCAGAAUCUGCCUUCAAUCUAACUUGGUUCUCUGGGGCCAUGACUGUAUCUACACAUGGAAGCUUUGCAUCUACACGGUAACCAAAGCCACCCCCUCAUCUACCCCAGUGGUGGUGAAAUAUAUGUGCAAGGAAGACUCUGCCUUCACCUGAACUUUGUGUCUUUUGAGGUUUGGAUUAGAUCCUGAUAGAAAAAAAUUGUUCUCAAAUCAGAGCAUAUCAGGAAAGAUUAUUAUAAGGGAACAGAAAUGCAUUUGGAGAGAUGAGAACUUAGGGUGGACUGAGGUUGAAAUUGUUGACUCAGUGAACAAGAGAGAUAAAAUAUGAAGCCAGCCUGGUUGAUGUGACUCUGCAGUUGAGCGAUGACCCAUGAACCAAGAGGUUGCUGAUUCGAUUCCUGGGCAUAUGCCUGGGUUGUGGGCUCC
Miniopterus natalensis is the source of this 850-nucleotide long non-coding RNA. RefSeq lists it as uncharacterized. Lineage: Eukaryota; Metazoa; Chordata; Mammalia; Chiroptera; Miniopteridae. The record is from RefSeq and is a predicted model, not a curated record.